UACGGAGGAUGCAAGCGUUAUCCGGAAUGAUUGGGCGUAAAGGGUCCGCAGGUGGCAUUGUAAGUCUGCUGUUAAAGAGUCCAGCUCAACUGGAUAAAAGCAGUGGAAACUACAAAGCUAGAGUGUGGUCGGGGCAGAGGGAAUUCCUGGUGUAGCGGUGAAAUGCGUAGAUAUCAGGAAGAACACCGGUGGCGAAGGCGCUCUGCUAGGCCAAAACUGACACUGAGGGACGAAAGCUAGGGGAGCGAAUGGG
This 253-nucleotide ribosomal RNA is filed under the name uncultured bacterium. RNAcentral's name for it is "partial 16S ribosomal RNA". It matches the Rfam family "Bacterial small subunit ribosomal RNA", at positions 524 to 776 of the family's 1533-position model. The record is from RNAcentral.